ACCACCAGUGCUGCGGUAACAACCACCCAGGCACCCACAACUGCUGCGGUAACAACCACCCAGGCACCCACAACUGCUGCGGUAACAACCACCCAGGCACCCACGACUACCAGAACUGCUACUACGGAAGCUGAAACAACAACGAUCGGUACAGGCCCCACAUCUGACAGUACUGUGUGUCCGACGGGCUGGUCUUACGGCUUUCAAGGAAGUUGCUAUAAGUUUAUAUUCAGUGAGUCCCACACGUGGGAUUAUAGACGGCAGUGUAUUGACAGCGGGGGGUAUCUGAACGUAAUCAACGUACAAGAAGAAAAGGAUCAUGUCAACGAUAUUAUUACGUUCAACAGUACAGCAUCCUCAGCCAACGUAUUGUGUGG
Long non-coding RNA from Lingula anatina, 377 nucleotides. NCBI's taxonomy places the organism in Eukaryota, Metazoa, Brachiopoda, Lingulata, Lingulida, Lingulidae. The record is from RefSeq and is a predicted model, not a curated record.